CCCGGCGCUGGGAGCGGGUGCGGGGCCGCGGCCGCCCGCCAGCCUCCAGUCCGGAGGACGGGCCCCGGGAGCCCCGGAGGCCCGGGUGGCGAGGCCGGAGCAGCCGGGAAGGCCCGGGAGAGGUGGGAAGCGCGCGGUUCCAGACCUUGGAAACGCCGGCCCCGAAGCGUCGGCGAAAACUCUGCCGGACACAGAAUCAGAGAUCAGCUGUGUGUGCCCC
RNAcentral lists this long non-coding RNA (220 nucleotides) under Moschus moschiferus (Siberian musk deer). RNAcentral's name for it is "lncRNA (ENSMMSG00000019377.1)". The record is from RNAcentral. Lineage: Eukaryota; Metazoa; Chordata; Mammalia; Artiodactyla; Moschidae.